GCGGUGGAGCAUGUGGUUUAAUUUGAAGCAACGCGAAGAACCUUACCAGGUCUUGACAUCCUCUGAAAACCCUAGAGAUAGGGCUUCUCCUUCGGGAGCAGAGUGACAGGUGGUGCAUGGUUGUUGUCAGCUCGUGUCGUGAGAUGUUGGGUUAAGUCCCGCAACGAGCGCAACCCUUGAUCUUAGUUGCCAUCAUUAAGUUGGGCACUCUAAGGUGACUGCCGGUGACAAACCGGAGGAAGGUGGGGAUGACGUCAAAUCAUCAUGCCCCUUAUGACCUGGGCUACACACGUGCUACAAUGGACGGUACAAAGAGCUGCAAGACCGCGAGGUGGAGCUAAUCUCAUAAAACCGUUCUCAGUUCGGAUUGU
RNAcentral lists this ribosomal RNA (371 nucleotides) under Bacillus cereus. Its description in RNAcentral is "bacterial SSU rRNA". It matches the Rfam family "Bacterial small subunit ribosomal RNA", at positions 929 to 1301 of the family's 1533-position model. Lineage: Bacteria; Bacillati; Bacillota; Bacilli; Caryophanales; Bacillaceae. The record is from RNAcentral.